This 86-nucleotide ribosomal RNA is filed under the name Propithecus coquereli (Coquerel's sifaka). Lineage: Eukaryota; Metazoa; Chordata; Mammalia; Primates; Indriidae. The record is from RNAcentral.
CCACGCUGACAGCGCCGGGUCUCGGAAGUCAAGCAGGGUCGGGCCUGGUUAGUACUUGAAUGGGAGACUCUCUGGGAAUACCGGGU